UACCUACGGGACGCAGCAGUGGGGAAUCUUCCGCAAUGGGCGAAAGCCUGACGGAGCAAUGCCGCGUGAGUGAGGAAGGCCUUCGGGUUGUAAAACUCUGUCCUUAUCGAAGAGAGGGGGGUAUGUGAAUAAUGCACUUAUAGGACGGUAGAUAAGGAGGAAGCCCCGGCUAACUACAUGCCAGCAGCCGCGGUAAUACGUAGGGGGCGAGCGUUGUCCGGAAUCACUGGGCGUAAAGGGCGCGUAGGCGGUUUAAUAAGUCAGGGGUGAAAACUGAGGGCUCAACC
Molecule: ribosomal RNA, 287 nt
Filed under: uncultured bacterium
Lineage: Bacteria
Description: partial 16S ribosomal RNA
Rfam family: Bacterial small subunit ribosomal RNA
Source: RNAcentral